RNAcentral lists this ribosomal RNA (606 nucleotides) under uncultured bacterium. Its description in RNAcentral is "bacterial SSU rRNA". It matches the Rfam family "Bacterial small subunit ribosomal RNA", at positions 250 to 847 of the family's 1533-position model. The record is from RNAcentral.
UGGUGGGGUAAAGGCUUACCAAGGCAAUGAUGCGUAGCCGAACUGAGAGGUUGAUCGGCCACAUUGGGACUGAGACACGGCCCAAACUCCUACGGGAGGCAGCAGUAGGGAAUCUUCCACAAUGGGCGAAAGCCUGAUGGAGCAACGCCGCGUGGGUGAAGAAGGUCUUCGGAUCGUAAAACCCUGUUGUUAGAGAAGAAAGUGCGUGAGAGUAACUGUUCACGUUUCGACGGUAUCUAACCAGAAAGCCACGGCUAACUACGUGCCAGCAGCCGCGGUAAUACGUAGGUGGCAAGCGUUAUCCGGAUUUAUUGGGCGUAAAGGGAACGCAGGCGGUCUUUUAAGUCUGAUGUGAAAGCCUUCGGCUUAACCGGAGUAGUGCAUUGGAAACUGGGAGACUUGAGUGCAGAAGAGGAGAGUGGAACUCCAUGUGUAGCGGUGAAAUGCGUAGAUAUAUGGAAGAACACCAGUGGCGAAAGCGGCUCUCUGGUCUGUAACUGACGCUGAGGUUCGAAAGCGUGGGUAGCAAACAGGAUUAGAUACCCUGGUAGUCCACGCCGUAAACGAUGAAUGCUAAGUGUUGGAGGGUUUCCGCCCUUCAGUGCU